GGCAGUUCUUGGGUGAUGCACCCCAGAAUCGGACUCCCUCCGUCUGGUUUCUAGUGCGUCACCUGAGAACUGCA
Non-coding RNA from Myotis brandtii (Brandt's bat), 74 nucleotides. NCBI's taxonomy places the organism in Eukaryota, Metazoa, Chordata, Mammalia, Chiroptera, Vespertilionidae. The record is from Rfam.